This 494-nucleotide ribosomal RNA is filed under the name uncultured bacterium. RNAcentral describes it as "partial 16S ribosomal RNA". It matches the Rfam family "Bacterial small subunit ribosomal RNA", at positions 28 to 523 of the family's 1533-position model. The record is from RNAcentral.
GAUGAACGCUAGCGGCAGGCUUAACACAUGCAAGUCGAGGGGUAUAGUUCUUCGGAGCUAGAGACCGGCGCACGGGUGCGUAACGCGUAUGCAAUCUACCUUUCACAGAGGGAUAGCCCAGAGAAAUUUGGAUUAAUACCUCAUAGUAUAAUGAUUUGGCAUCAACCCAUUAUUAAAGUCACAACGGUGAAAGAUGAGCAUGCGUCCCAUUAGCUAGUUGGUAGGGUAACGGCUUACCAAGGCUACGAUGGGUAGGGGUCCUGAGAGGGAGAUCCCCCACACUGGUACUGAGACACAGACCAGACUCCUACGGGAGGCAGCAGUGAGGAAUAUUGGUCAAUGGACGCAAGUCUGAACCAGCCAUGCCGCGUGCAGGAUGACGGUCCUAUGGAUUGUAAACUGCUUUUGUACGAGAAGAAACACUCCUUCGUGAAGGAGCUUGACGGUAUCGUAAGAAUAAGGAUCGGCUAACUCCGUGCCAGCCGCCGCGGUAA